RNAcentral lists this ribosomal RNA (516 nucleotides) under uncultured Arthrobacter sp. RNAcentral describes it as "bacterial SSU rRNA". It matches the Rfam family "Bacterial small subunit ribosomal RNA", at positions 550 to 1064 of the family's 1533-position model. The record is from RNAcentral. Lineage: Bacteria; Bacillati; Actinomycetota; Actinomycetes; Micrococcales; Micrococcaceae.
AUUAUUGGGCGUAAAGAGCUCGUAGGCGGUUUGUCGCGUCUGCCGUGAAAGUCCGGGGCUCAACUCCGGAUCUGCGGUGGGUACGGGCAGACUAGAGUGAUGUAGGGGAGACUGGAAUUCCUGGUGUAGCGGUGAAAUGCGCAGAUAUCAGGAGGAACACCGAUGGCGAAGGCAGGUCUCUGGGCAUUAACUGACGCUGAGGAGCGAAAGCAUGGGGAGCGAACAGGAUUAGAUACCCUGGUAGUCCAUGCCGUAAACGUUGGGCACUAGGUGUGGGGGACAUUCCACGUUUUCCGCGCCGUAGCUAACGCAUUAAGUGCCCCGCCUGGGGAGUACGGCCGCAAGGCUAAAACUCAAAGGAAUUGACGGGGGCCCGCACAAGCGGCGGAGCAUGCGGAUUAAUUCGAUGCAACGCGAAGAACCUUACCAAGGCUUGACAUGAACCGGAAAGACCUGGAAACAGGUCCCCCACUUGUGGCCGGUUUACAGGUGGUGCAUGGCUGUCGUCAGCUCGUG